ACAGUCGAUGGUGAAAUCUUCGAGCUUAACUCGGAGCCUGCCUUCGAUACUUCCAUUCUUGAGUGCAGGAGAGGGUAGUGGAAUUCCCGGUGUAGCGGUGGAAUGCGCAGAUAUCGGGAGGAACACCUGUUGCGAAGGCGGCAACCUUGCCUGACACUGACGCUGAGGCGCGAAAGCGUGGGUAGCAAACAGGCUUAGAUACCCUGGUAGUCCACGCCGUAAACGAUGGGUACUAGACGUCGGAGGAUUUCGACCCCUCCGGUGCCGAAGUUAACGCAUUAAGUACCCCGCCUGGGGAGUACGAUCGCAAGGUUGAAACUCAAAGGAAUUGACGGGGCCCCGCACAAGCGGUGGAGCAUGUUGUUUAAUUCGAUGCGACGCGAAGAACCUUACCUGGCCUGGAAGUGCAGCUGCUUAUCCGGUGAAAGCCGGACUCCUUCGAGGGUGCUGCAGAGGUGCUGCAUGGCUGUCGUCAGCUCGUGUCGUAAGAUGUUGGGUUAAGUCCCGCAACGAGCGCAACCCUUACCGUUAGUUGCCAUCAGAUCCUUGAGAUGCUGGGAACUCUAACGGGACUGCCCGGGUUAACCGGGAGGAAGGUGGGGAUGACGUCAAGUCCUCAUGGCCCUUACGGCCAGGUCUACAAACGUGCUACAAUGGAUGGUACAAAGGGCUGCAAAAUCGCGAGGUUAAGCUAAUCCCAAAAAACCAUCCCCAGUUCGGAUUGCAGUCUGCAACUCGACUGCAUGAAGUCGGAAUCGCUAGUAAUCGCUGAUCAGCAGGCAGCGGUGAAUACGUUCCCGGGGCUUGUAC
This 810-nucleotide ribosomal RNA is filed under the name uncultured Deferribacteres bacterium. RNAcentral describes it as "bacterial SSU rRNA". It matches the Rfam family "Bacterial small subunit ribosomal RNA", at positions 584 to 1386 of the family's 1533-position model. The record is from RNAcentral. Lineage: Bacteria; Pseudomonadati; Deferribacterota; Deferribacteres.